AUUGAACGCUGGCGGAAUGCUUUACACAUGCAAGUCGAACGGAUCCUUCGGGAUUAGUGGCGGACGGGUGAGUAACGCGUGGGAACAUACCCUUUGGUACGGAAUAGCCUCGGGAAACUGGGAGUAAUACCGUAUGUGGUCGAGAGACGAAAGAUUUAUCGCCAAAGGAUUGGCCCGCGUUGGAUUAGGUAGUUGGUGGGGUAAUGGCCUACCAAGCCGACGAUCCAUAGCUGGUUGGAGAGGAUGAUCAGCCACACUGGGACUGAGACACGGCCCAGACUCCUACGGGAGGCAGCAGUGGGGAAUCUUAGACAAUGGGGGAAACCCUGAUCUAGCCAUGCCGCGUGAUCGAUGAAGGCCUUAGGGUUGUAAAGAUCUUUCAGGUGGGAAGAUAAUGACUGUACCACCAGAAGAAGCCCCGGCUAACUCCGUGCCAGCCGCCGCCGUAA
RNAcentral lists this ribosomal RNA (449 nucleotides) under uncultured bacterium. Its description in RNAcentral is "partial 16S ribosomal RNA". It matches the Rfam family "Bacterial small subunit ribosomal RNA", at positions 30 to 523 of the family's 1533-position model. The record is from RNAcentral.